GAUGAACGCUGACAGAAUGCUUAACACAUGCAAGUCUACUUGAAUUUGGGUUUUUUAACUUAGAUUUGGGUGGCGGACGGGUGAGUAACGCGUAAAGAACUUGCCUCACAGUUAGGGACAACAUUUGGAAACGAAUGCUAAUACCUGAUAUUAUGAAUAUAUGGCAUCAUAUAAUUAUGAAAGCUAUAAGCGCUGUGAGAGAGCUUUGCGUCCCAUUAGCUAGUUGGAGAGGUAACGGCUCACCAAGGCGAUGAUGGGUAGCCGGCCUGAGAGGGUGAACGGCCACAAGGGGACUGAGACACGGCCCUUACUCCUACGGGAGGCAACAGUGGGGAAUAUUGGACAAUGGACCAAGAGUCUGAUCCAGCAAUUCUGUGUGCACGAUGACGUUUUUCGGAAUGUAAAGUGCUUUCAGUUGGGGAGAAAAAAAUGACGGUACCAACAGAAGAAGUGACGGCUAAAUACGUG
Molecule: ribosomal RNA, 468 nt
Filed under: uncultured bacterium
Lineage: Bacteria
Description: partial 16S ribosomal RNA
Rfam family: Bacterial small subunit ribosomal RNA
Source: RNAcentral